Molecule: ribosomal RNA, 618 nt
Filed under: Oceanobacillus sp.
Lineage: Bacteria; Bacillati; Bacillota; Bacilli; Caryophanales; Bacillaceae
Description: bacterial SSU rRNA
Rfam family: Bacterial small subunit ribosomal RNA
Source: RNAcentral
GGCUCACCAAGGCGACGAUGCGUAGCCGACCUGAGAGGGUGAUCGGCCACACUGGGACUGAGACACGGCCCAGACUCCUACGGGAGGCAGCAGUAGGGAAUCUUCCGCAAUGGACGAAAGUCUGACGGAGCAACGCCGCGUGAGUGAUGAAGGUUUUCGGAUCGUAAAACUCUGUUGUCGGGGAAGAACAAGUAUGAUAGUAACUGAUCGUACCUUGACGGUACCCGACCAGAAAGCCACGGCUAACUACGUGCCAGCAGCCGCGGUAAUACGUAGGUGGCAAGCGUUGUCCGGAAUUAUUGGGCGUAAAGCGCUCGCAGGCGGUUCUUUAAGUCUGAUGUGAAAUCUUGCGGCUCAACCGCAAACGUGCAUUGGAAACUGGAGGACUUGAGUGCAGAAGAGGAGAGUGGAAUUCCACGUGUAGCGGUGAAAUGCGUAGAGAUGUGGAGGAACACCAGUGGCGAAGGCGACUCUCUGGUCUGUAACUGACGCUGAGGAGCGAAAGCGUGGGGAGCGAACAGGAUUAGAUACCCUGGUAGUCCACGCCGUAAACGAUGAGUGCUAGGUGUUAGGGGGUUUCCGCCCCUUAGUGCUGAAGUUAACGCAUUAAGCACUCCG